RNAcentral lists this small RNA (734 nucleotides) under Histoplasma ohiense. RNAcentral describes it as "hypothetical lncRNA". Lineage: Eukaryota; Fungi; Ascomycota; Eurotiomycetes; Onygenales; Ajellomycetaceae. The record is from RNAcentral.
GGUAUAUUCGGGCGGUGGGUGUGGUGGGUGUGGGAAGCCCGGAUCCAUCUCUCGAGUCAGGGUAGGGCAGUUGGUGGAAGAGUUGAAUGUGGUGGCCGGACAUGCAAAGAAGGCGUCAUGACACAGGUGCGUUAGGAGUAUUAUAACUCUAUCCCGUAGACGUCUGCUUGGGUACUAUCAAACUAUCACUGCCAAUGUGACAAAUAUUUCGAUACGAUCUUUGCCAGGCGAGUAGUCCCAAGAAGGGGAAUUGCAAGAAUUGAAAGCCCUACUCCGUAUCGACGCAAAGAAGGACCUUGCUGCGAUAUCGUAAUGUGAUGUCCCUUUUAUUUUCCACGGAACAUAUGGAACCAUGAUUGCUAUAACAAGGAACUUUUGCUUGGCAUGUAUCAAACAGGACGGCAAAUAUCGAAACUCAACAUCAGGGAGAAGGCAAUUGGGAAUCAAGUUGGAGGCAAUAGCAUUGCAUCCCUGAAGUCACAGUCCCGCUGCAAUUCAAGGUCAAGAAGCAUUUUGGAGUAGGUGAUGCGUCUCCAAACAUCAUAGUAAAUAUGAACCAAGAACGAGAUAUCUGGAAAUGCAUCGUAUGAACCGGUUAGAAAUAGAGAGUUUGGUCCAGUGAAUAGUGUGCUUCUAGAGUCAUUUAACGUAUCAAGGUGAUAUCAAUAACAUUCUUGAGUGUGGUGAAAAUGUACUCUAUAUUUGAGAUAUGCAUUCGAUGGGGUAUUGGAAAG